UGACGUGUACUCAUAAGCGAAUGACGUACUGUAUGCAAUUUCCCGCGAAAUCCGCCCAGACAGCUGUAAUAUAAUUCUAAGAUUGACAAAAAGGUUUAAACGUUCCAUUUUUAGUCUGGUUUGCCUCAGCGGUCAGCAGGGAAUGAAGCCCCAUCUGCUACACAGUGUGUCUUGUGAGGAAACGGGAGAAAGGAGGCUGUUUCUGAGCUCUUUAGUGGCCACUUUGGAGCUCCCUUUAUAUGCAGACAGCUGAUGGGAUCUUUCCUCAGUUUGUGCUUUACUUUCAAUGACUCUCCUCUUGUGAUUGGCAUCUUGUUCACUAUAAUAGUUUGGUUGACUCUCUUAUCUACACAUAAAUGGAUGUUUAGAUCCUACUGCAUCAUAUUUGAUAUCAUUUAGAAAUCAUAUACAUUUGCAUAAGCAUGAUCAAAACUGUUAAUAAAUGCCUUGUGUCAUGUGA
Megalobrama amblycephala (Wuchang bream) is the source of this 460-nucleotide long non-coding RNA. RefSeq lists it as uncharacterized. The transcript has 2 exons. The record is from RefSeq and is a predicted model, not a curated record. NCBI's taxonomy places the organism in Eukaryota, Metazoa, Chordata, Actinopteri, Cypriniformes, Xenocyprididae.